This 80-nucleotide small RNA is filed under the name Arabidopsis thaliana (thale cress). RNAcentral describes it as "ATSL138080". Lineage: Eukaryota; Viridiplantae; Streptophyta; Magnoliopsida; Brassicales; Brassicaceae. The record is from RNAcentral.
GCCCCUAUGGUUUUCAGUUCACCGUCUUCGAUUUCUACAACGCCGUUCUUCGUAGGAUUGCGACAGGAAGAAGUCUUAAC